Rosa chinensis is the source of this 1070-nucleotide long non-coding RNA. RefSeq lists it as uncharacterized. The transcript has 5 exons. NCBI's taxonomy places the organism in Eukaryota, Viridiplantae, Streptophyta, Magnoliopsida, Rosales, Rosaceae. The record is from RefSeq and is a predicted model, not a curated record.
UAUACCUCUUUGUUAAUUGCAAAGGCACACUAUAAAAAUAUUGUUAUUUACAGAUUUGUUGUUUUGCAGGGACCCUGGGCGUUCUAUGAGGACUUCAUCCCAAAUUUUGGACGGCUAGGAUCUUCAAAUGUGAUUAGGUUUCUACCUUUGAGCAGGGAUUGAAGCAGAAUUUCCAUGGCAAGAGGAAACAAAAUUCAAUCACAACUCUGAAUUUUCAAAGUGCACCACCUUAUUUCUAUUUGGGGUUUACCUACUUUGCCCCUGACACCUGUACGUCUCCUAUGAGCUAUUAAAGAGUUGGAUAGACAGAGUGACACUGUCUUUGUUUCGUCGUUCACACCGACGGGAAGCGAAUGAGAAACAGACAAUCUAUGCUGGAUCUGCUUAGAAGACAAAGGAAUUAGAACAGAAAGGUCAGAGUUUGCUGGGUUCAUCUUCAAUACCUGUCGAUCGCAACCAUACCAAGUUUUUGGUGCAGGCAUAUACCAAUUUCUUUCAAUAAAAAGAAGAAAUAGACAUUGCAGCCUGGUUUUGGCUUCAGUGGGGAUCCCAUCAUUACAACUCAUGCAAGCAAGUUAAUGCUGUUGAAAUCAAAUUCACACCAUCCAGAAUAUUACAUACUAGCAAGUAACAGAAGUUGCAGUUUGUCUCUUUCCUCAUCAAAAGUGAAGUUGAAGGCAUAUGCUGAUCGAGCUUCAUGAGCAAGAAGCAGUCGAACAGACGUUCCAUAAUUAAAAGCAACUUCUUCAAAUGCAAGCAACUAAUGCAACAGUGACCUCACUCUUUUAGGCGGAAAUAGGAUUCCUCUGAUCACUAUUAGAGGCAAGAAAUCUGCAAGGAUAAAUAUACCUCCUCUGUGCUCCAUAGCUCAGCUUCUUCUUUUGGUAAAUAUUGAUGUAUUCUUUUUAAUUAUAAGUCAUCCUCGCUUGCAGAGAGAACAGUUGUAGUUUUAUUUUUCUACUAUAAAAUACCAGUUUUUGUAAUAUGUAAAAUCAAAACAGUUUCAAUUAACAGUUUUUACCUUACAAUUGUGACCAUUACGAAUAAAUUAGAGAGAAGAAAAAACAAAC